CAGUAGCCGCGGGAAUACGUAGGGUGCAAGCGUUAAUCGGAAUUACUGGGCGUAAAGCGUGCGCAGGCGGUUAUAUAAGACAGAUGUGAAAUCCCCGGGCUCAACCUGGGAACUGCAUUUGUGACUGUAUAGCUAGAGUACGGCAGAGGGGGAUGGAAUUCCGCGUGUAGCAGUGAAAUGCGUAGAUAUGCGGAGGAACACCGAUGGCGAAGGCAAUCCCCUGGGCCUGUACUGACGCUCAUGCACGAAAGCGUGGGGAGCAAACAGGAUUAGAUACACCAGUAGUCCCUGUCUCUUAUAC
This 301-nucleotide ribosomal RNA is filed under the name uncultured bacterium. Its description in RNAcentral is "partial 16S ribosomal RNA". It matches the Rfam family "Bacterial small subunit ribosomal RNA", at positions 509 to 807 of the family's 1533-position model. The record is from RNAcentral.